AGCCCUGGCAAAGCUGUUUUAUCAAAGGCUUUCUCCUCCCCACAUGCAUGGAGCUCCCAUGUGCUCUGUGUUUGUCCAUUCAGCCACAACAAAGGAAGCUUCCAUCAGGUCCGGCACUGUCUCUUCCUCCGCUGUCAGAUGUCUGCACCAGCCUGAGAUGACCUUCUUUGUGUGUUGGCGGAGACAGGAAGGCCUGGGGAUGUUUGGUAACUGCACAGAAGCACCAAGGACUCCUGACCACAGUGACACUGGGCUUGAGCACUGGGGGUAGAGGGGCACCAGCAGCCUGCCACGCAAAACGAGGCCACUCAGUAAGGGUCUCUCACAUGAGCCCUAAGCAAAUAGAGUCAAUAAUGGUGGCUCUUCUCUUUCUUCAUUCAAGAAU
Molecule: long non-coding RNA, 385 nt
Filed under: Cavia porcellus (domestic guinea pig)
Lineage: Eukaryota; Metazoa; Chordata; Mammalia; Rodentia; Caviidae
Description: lncRNA (ENSCPOG00000034010.1)
Source: RNAcentral